CCUACGGGAGGCAGCAGUGAGGAAUAUUGGUCAAUGGACGAGAGUCUGAACCAGCCAAGUAGCGUGAAGGAUGACUGCCCUAUGGGUUGUAAACUUCUUUUAUAUGGGAAUAAAAUGUUCCACGUGUGGGAUUUUGUAUGUACCAUAUGAAUAAGGAUCGGCUAACUCCGUGCCAGCAGCCGCGGUAAUACGGAGGAUCCGAGUGUUAUCCGGAUUUAUUGGGUUUAAAGGGAGCGUAGGUGGAUUGUUAAGUCAGUUGUGAAAGUUUGCGGCUCAACCGUAAAAUUGCAGUUGAAACUGGCAGUCUUGAGUACAGUAGAGGUGGGCGGAAUGCGUGGUGUAGCGGUGAAAUGCUUAGAUAUCACGAAGAACUCCGAUUGCGAAGGCAGUUCACUGGACUGCAACUGACACUGAGGCUCGAAAGUGUGGGUAUCAAACAGGAUUAGAUACCCCAGUAGUC
RNAcentral lists this ribosomal RNA (460 nucleotides) under uncultured bacterium. RNAcentral's name for it is "partial 16S ribosomal RNA". It matches the Rfam family "Bacterial small subunit ribosomal RNA", at positions 338 to 795 of the family's 1533-position model. The record is from RNAcentral.